CGUCCCCAGCUGACCCUUUCUCUCGGGAUUAGCAGCAACAGCAACAUGCACACCUCCGAGGGGGCUUGAGACUGACUGGGGUGGGGAGCGGGAAUCUCUGGCUCAGAAAGGAACCAAAAAUGAAGCGUAUGGAAACGCUCGGCUAGCUGGCGCUACCAAGAGCGCUGGCUCUGCAGGAAACUUCACCGCGAGUGACCCCAAGACAGGGAGCUCCGGGGGAGGGGGCGAUGGUGCAGCUCGCCGUCUCAAGUCCAGUUAAAAGCACUUGAAAUUAAUUUUGGAUGCAACGCCAGAGAAUGAAUCCAGGACCUCCAGUGUGGUCAAGCAUGUGUUCUGUCAGCUCUAAUGCAUAACUCAAAGCCAGGAAAAUCAUUCUGCAGAAUCACUAGUUGGCUGGACAAUGGUUUGCCCUAUAGACUUGGUCACAACACACUGACUGAGAAACCUCAGAG
Long non-coding RNA from Erinaceus europaeus (western European hedgehog), 452 nucleotides. RefSeq lists it as uncharacterized. The transcript has 3 exons. The record is from RefSeq and is a predicted model, not a curated record. NCBI's taxonomy places the organism in Eukaryota, Metazoa, Chordata, Mammalia, Eulipotyphla, Erinaceidae.